Molecule: long non-coding RNA, 1056 nt
Organism: Lolium perenne
Lineage: Eukaryota; Viridiplantae; Streptophyta; Magnoliopsida; Poales; Poaceae
Source: RefSeq, a predicted model, not a curated record
AAGAGAGGAGACGGGGGAGACCAGGCAGCAGACCAGAGGGGGGGCGAGAGAGACCACCAGAAACCAAGGGAAAAGAAAAGAGGAGGCGAUGAGGGAGAUCUGGGGUUCCUCGGACCACCGAGAGAAGAAGGGAAGCAGUCGCCGCCAAGCUCAAGAUCUUCCCCUGUUUUUUUCCUGCUUCCCUUGCUGAACGUCUGCUUCACCUGUAACAUCGUUAGCAACAGCCAAGUUCUUCCCUGAUCCUAAAUUCUUCCUGCUUGAUACGGGGUGGCCUACGGACACCGCCGCCUCAAGACCGACAAGCCCUCCUCGUGGUCCAGUGACACGAGCUCGAGCCCAAGCCCUACGCCAAGAGGUGAAUUCGCUCCUUUCCGCGUAUGCUUUUGAUACCCCUUUGGAUGACUUGCUACUUCAUGCAAAUACCCUAUGUUCAAUCAGGUACAUCGACCAAGAAGCGAGCCAUGGAGACCAAGCCAUUGGAGAGAGAGCUGGAAAUGAUGAAGAUGGAGCUACAGCGCCCAGGCCGGAACAUCCGCCCCCCAGGACCGGAACUUCCGGCCAGAUGCCUUCCAGAUGCCUUCCAGCGCCCUGAGAAAUGGAUCAGGCCGGAACUUCCGCCCCGAGGGACCGGAACUUCCGCUCACCGGAACUUCCGCCCAAGUUCCGCCCAAGUUCCGAAAUUGCGCCAAAACGCCCCUGGAUGUUACUGCAAGGAAAUGGGCAAUUUCCGGAACUAGGCCGGAACUUGGCCGGAACUUCCGCCCCGGUCGGAACUUCCGGCCCGCAAGACCGGAACUUCCGCCUGUGACCGAAACUUCCGCCCAGGAUGACCGGAACUUCCGCCCCAUCGAACUUCAGCACGGCAACACUUUUCAGCGUGUAACUUAUCCCUUCGCCCCCCACCUAUAAAUAACCUUGUUGGCUCAGAUCUGAGAUUAGACUUGAUGUGAAAUUAAACCUGAGCUUAGCUCACCCUUGUGGGAACCCUACCUAGAUCUUUGAUCUUGUACCCACCCGGGCUCCUUAUCGACUCGUGAAGAUCUCUUUGGUGACUUC